Globicephala melas (long-finned pilot whale) is the source of this 1674-nucleotide long non-coding RNA. RefSeq lists it as uncharacterized. NCBI's taxonomy places the organism in Eukaryota, Metazoa, Chordata, Mammalia, Artiodactyla, Delphinidae. The record is from RefSeq and is a predicted model, not a curated record.
UGAGCACAGACUGGGUGCUGGACAUUUCUGUCCUCCCAUCACCCCCAUUUGUGGAUGAGGAAACUGAGUCUCUGUGGCUGGGGAGGAGGCCUGAGGCUUCCAGGACACUGAGCCCCCAAAGGCUGGGGCGCAGCCUGCAGGAGCCCCUCACCGCCUCCCUGGAACAGAGAGCUAGCAGGGCGGGGGCGGGGUGUAAGUAGGCCAGCGCUCUGUGCAGCGUUGCUAUGGCGCCGCCGUUGCUGCUGUGCAGGCUUCCUUCUGGGCCCUGUUCCCAGGACACCUCGAGCUAGCUGCCAGGCAUCCCUCCCCAGCCCGGCCAGGCCCCAUCGCCACUCAGGGGCUGCUCCCAGUCUCCGAGCCCUCCUCUACCCCCGGGCCCCUUGCCCACCCGCAGGCUGCCGGGGAACGGAGGGAGCCGUGGCAGAGCGUCUGUUCCACCUCGUCACACACACAGCCUGUGCACACACUCACAGCACACACGCGCAGCCACAGGAGGCACUCGGUGAAGGUGAAGCUGCAGGAGCUCCGCCUCACGGUGGGAGCUGCGAGUCACGGGUGCCUGGAGCUCCGAAGGUCUGUGACUCCUAAGCGGGGGAAAUGCCAACUACACUUUAACUGGCCGAGUUCUCCGACCCUGAGUGCUCCGGACGCCUUCCCACCGUCCAGCCUGCACCCAUGCUGAUGAAAUCAGAGCCCCUGGGGUGGGACCCUCCAGAGCACGGGCUCCAGGUGCGUGGGCUUCAGUAGUUGUGGCGCACGGGCUUAGUGGCUCCACGGCAUGUGGGAUCUUCGCGGACCAGGGCUCAAACCCGUGUACCCUGCAUUGGCAGGCGGAUUCUUAACCACUGCGCCACCAGGGAAGUCCUUGAGAACAGUUUCUAACGCAGAGAAGACAGAAGAGGGCCUGUAGGAGGAGGCGGGGAAAAGGCAAAACCAGUUGCUGCCACCAGGCACUAGAGAAGCAUCCAUGUGCCAAUAACAUGAGCUAAGGAAUGCAGCAGGUGCCCGGAGUGCGACGUCUGCAGGCGCAGGGAGCUGAUGCUCGCUUCCUCUGAACAAGCUUCAAAGAGCUGGUCCUGCAGGGCUGCUGACAGUUUCUGCUCUCAUACACUGUAAAACAGCAUCGGGAAUGUUUAACAAGUUUGUCCCUUAUGCCGCCUUGAAUGACAGAAGAAGCCCAUUACGUGCUACAUGCAGACAUUUUUGCUUAUUUUAGCAUAACCUGAUAAUUGGUAAUUUCCACUUCUUUUCAUUAUCUUACCAUGGGUGUGGGUGUUUCCUUUUUUUUUCAAGGUCCAUUAACUUCAUUUAAAUGUUCCCAUCCUUAGUAAUUUCUAAGGGAAACUCUAAGUUUAGAUUUUACAAACAAAAACAACUUGAAGGUAUCAGCUGGUGUUUUAUCCCUUCUUCAAUGCAGUCUCAAAGGUGUUUUUGCUAUUCAUUUUCAUAAUUUUAUUAUGUCAUACACAAAAAUAAGACUCCCCCUCUAAAUGCAGAGUACAGGAGAAAAUACACGUAUUUCAAACAAAAAAUGUUUAUGAAAAAACCCACCAUCCAAAAAAACAAAAAGACUCCCACCCUCUUAAAUUGGGUGGAACCAACUGGGUUUUAUAAAUGAAAAAAAUCCUUCUGCUUUAUUUAGCAUAAUAAAACAUUUCAUUGUACUGCGUUUGU